CAAAAUAUCAAGUGCCCGAUGCUACUGGAUCGGAAAGCUGUACCCAACACCAGAAGGAAAUGCAUUUGGACGCCAGCACCGCUGGAUGCCGGGUUCCGAGAGGCAGCCUGACCCGAGGAGCGCUUCUCCAUAGAGCCAAGCCCCGAGAUUUCCUAGAGGAUAUGUCGCCUAUUUUUUCUCCAUCAUCAACAACACGGAUGAGAGAUGUCAUCACUAUCUGAAGGCAAAUGUGAAACAUCUUAGCAGAAGCUGUCAGAUAAUGAUGCAAACAACGAGACAAAAUGGAGAUGGACUAGACUCCUCAACUCUCCCCUCUGCACUCAAAUCCCUUCUCUUAUUUCAGGAUUUUCUCCCCGAGUGGUAUCAAUGACAUCAAUAUAUUUUUUCCAUGUAAUGUUUGUCUCCUCCCAAGUGGAUCUUCACUCUCAAAGCAGUUGGCAUCCUCCCCCAAGGAGAUACCAUCUCUUUUUCAAACCCUCAUUGGUAAGUCAACCCAUUUCAAGAGUAGCUUUCAUUGAUAAUGAUGUCUGCUCACUUCUGGAUGGAUAUCUUACCGUACGGCACCAUUCAUCUCAAUGGACAGCCAGAACUCAUGUAAAUCUCUAUUAAAGGAAAUAUAAACAAAGCAGCUGCUGGAUCUCCUGCUUGAGUCUGGGGGAGAGAGGGGAUAUGGGGAGACUGACAGGCCAUGAACAAGCAUAGAGUGUGAGGAGGACAUCACCUGGUGCUCUGGAAGAAUUCUGAGGUUUCCAUCUGAAAUGGUGGAGGGCUACAUCCUUAGUCCAUGCAAAUUAACCCAGACCCAGUGCUGUGAGAGGUAAGUGAUGGAAACUCCACACAAGUGACUGACACCACCUCCAGUGGUGUCCAGAUGAAUAAAUGAAGGACUUGUUAGAGGCCUGAAGAAGGAGGUCAGUAAAUAUUUAAAGAAGGCUUUCCUGAGAUGCUGUGGCUGCUGCAGUAUGGUGACCCUACUUGAACUUCUCCACAGGAUCCCCAGGAUUUGGUUCUGAUUCUCCCAGGAUGGAACGGUCUUCAGAGUCUGAUCCCAAUGUGGUCCCCCUCUGUCUCACUUGCAUUUUUCAAUUUUGU
Molecule: long non-coding RNA, 1092 nt
Organism: Onychomys torridus (southern grasshopper mouse)
Lineage: Eukaryota; Metazoa; Chordata; Mammalia; Rodentia; Cricetidae
Exons: 3
Source: RefSeq, a predicted model, not a curated record